Molecule: non-coding RNA, 98 nt
Organism: Acanthosepion pharaonis
Lineage: Eukaryota; Metazoa; Mollusca; Cephalopoda; Sepiida; Sepiidae
Source: the annotation of a GenBank genome assembly
GAAUUGAAACACCAAUUCCCAUAAAAUCACUGAAGUUAAGCAAUGUUGAGCUUGGUCAGUACCUAGACGGGUGAUCACUUGGUAAUACCAGUAAGCUG